AGAGUUUGAUCCUGGCUCAGGAUGAACGCUAGCGGCAGGCUUAACACAUGCAAGUCGAGGGGUAACGCGGGGUAGCAAUACUCUGGCGACGACCGGCGCACGGGUGCGUAACGCGUAUGCAACCUACCUGUAACAGGGGUAUAACGGAGUAAAAUUCCACUAAUCCCCCAUAUUGUUAGAGAUUCGCAUGUUUCUCUAACGAAAGCUUCGGUGGUUACGGAUGGGCAUGCGUGACAUUAGCUAGUUGGCGGGGCAACGGCCCACCAAGGCGACGAUGUCUAGGGGAGCUGAGAGGCUUAUCCCCCACACUGGUACUGAGACACGGACCAGACUCCUACGGGAGGCAGCAGUNAGGAAUAUUGGUCAAUGGACGGAAGUCUGAACCAGCCAUGCCGCGUGGAGGAAGAAGGUCCUAUGGGUUGUAAACUCCUUUUGUUCGAGAGUAAUAAGUGGGAUGCGUCCCACGAUGAGAGUAUCGGACGAAUAAGCAUCGGCUAACUCCGUGCCAGCAGCCGCGGUAAUACGGAGGAUGCAAGCGUUAUCCGGAUUUAUUGGGUUUAAAGGGUGCGCAGGCGGCGCGUUAAGUCAGCGGUGAAAUCUCAUGGCUCAACCAUGGAACUGCCGUUGAUA
Molecule: ribosomal RNA, 630 nt
Filed under: unidentified rumen bacterium 12-80
Lineage: Bacteria; Pseudomonadati; Bacteroidota; Bacteroidia; Bacteroidales; Bacteroidaceae
Description: bacterial SSU rRNA
Rfam family: Bacterial small subunit ribosomal RNA
Source: RNAcentral